This is a small nucleolar RNA of Takifugu rubripes (torafugu), 81 nucleotides long. Ensembl annotates it as small nucleolar RNA snR60/Z15/Z230/Z193/J17. The record is from Ensembl. NCBI's taxonomy places the organism in Eukaryota, Metazoa, Chordata, Actinopteri, Tetraodontiformes, Tetraodontidae.
UGGAUACGGUGAUGAUUGCAUAGUUCAGCAGAGUUGACUGUGAAGAAUAUGCAUGUCUUUCGCUCCUAGCUGAUGUGUCCA